GACGAACGCUGGCGGCGUGCUUAACACAUGCAAGUCGAACGGUGAAGCGCCUUCCUUUUUGGUGGGUGUGGAUGAGUGGCGAACGGGUGAGUAACACGUGAGUAACCUGCCCCCUUCUUCUGGAUAACCGCAUGAAAGUGUGGCUAACACGGGAUAUUCUGGUUCUGUCGCAUGAUGGGUCUGGGAAAGAUAUUGUUUCGGUGGGGGAUGGGCUCGCGGCCUAUCAGCUUGUUGGUGGGGUGAUGGCCUACCAAGGCGGUGACGGGUAGCCGGCCUGAGAGGGUGGACGGUCACACUGGGACUGAGACACGGCCCAGACUCCUACGGGAGGCAGCAGUGGGGAAUAUUGCACAAUGGGCGCAAGCCUGAUGCAGCGACGCCGCGUGAGGGAUGGAGGCCUUCGGGUUGUGAACCUCUUUCGCCAGUGAAGCAGGCCUGCCUCGUUUGUGGGUGGGUUGACGGUAGCUGGAUAAGAAGCGCCGGCUAACUACGUG
RNAcentral lists this ribosomal RNA (494 nucleotides) under uncultured bacterium. RNAcentral's name for it is "partial 16S ribosomal RNA". It matches the Rfam family "Bacterial small subunit ribosomal RNA", at positions 28 to 507 of the family's 1533-position model. The record is from RNAcentral.